UAUGGCUGUACCACCCUGAAUGCAUCUGAUCUCUGAAGCUAAGCAGGGUUGGGCCUGUUUAGUACUUGGAUGGUGAAACACUGGUCCAUUU
RNAcentral lists this ribosomal RNA (91 nucleotides) under Castor canadensis (American beaver). The record is from RNAcentral. Lineage: Eukaryota; Metazoa; Chordata; Mammalia; Rodentia; Castoridae.